UACGUAGGGUCCGAGCGUUGUCCGGAAUUAUUGGGCGUAAAGGGCUCGUAGGCGGUUUGUCGCGUCGGGAGUGAAAACACCGGGCUUAACUCGGUGCUUGCUUUCGAUACGGGCAGACUAGAGGUAUGCAGGGGAGAACGGAAUUCCUGGUGUAGCGGUGAAAUGCGCAGAUAUCAGGAGGAACACCGGUGGCGAAGGCGGUUCUCUGGGCAUGACCUGACGCUGAGGAGCGAAAGUGUGGGGAGCGAACAGG
This 253-nucleotide ribosomal RNA is filed under the name uncultured bacterium. RNAcentral describes it as "partial 16S ribosomal RNA". It matches the Rfam family "Bacterial small subunit ribosomal RNA", at positions 524 to 776 of the family's 1533-position model. The record is from RNAcentral.